GGCUUAAUACUCACGCCCAGCUGCCUGAAAUCCAGAAUUUCAUUCUCUAUAAGGGAACGGAAACUGGUCAUGUUGGAGUGCCUGGCCCAGUUCAUUUUAGUCAGCUAAAACAGUUUAAAAAUUUUAAGAAAACAGAAUGUCUAGCAAACUCACAUCAUUAUCAAAUUAAAACAGCCUUAUACUAAAUAAAACUAAUCAGAACAUUAAAAAUUCCAGUUUUUUGGGAAAAUUUGAAAUACGUUAAUAAGCUAUUCUAUCAAUUAAAACUAUCAUUUACAAACUUGAAUCAAAAUAAGAUUCCAAAGUAACUCUUAUACUUUUUUCUUUCAGCACUGGCAAUGAACAACAAUAGAACUACACAUUCAAGCUCUUCCAUUCAUGCGUUUGUGAAUGAGACACUUCACAGAGAUGGAUCUGACUAACUGGUGGUCAGAUUCAUCCCUUAGCCAUUCUUUAACCUUCCUUCAAGUGUGAAUCAACAUUGAUACCAAAAAAAAAAGGAAAACACAGUAAGAAUUCAGUCCACUUAAGCUGAACCAGGACAUAUGUGUUUUUUGUCACAACAAAUAAGAUAAAAGCUUGAAGUUCAUAAAGAAAAAUGAAAGCAUCACAGAUACUCUUAGAACUACUUCAGAAAUUUGCAAAGAAUAAGCAGGAAUUCAAAUGCUUAACCACAUUUACAAGCAUAAACCAAUCAAAUGUUAAUAAUGGAAAUCUACUAACGAAUGAACUGAUUCUUCAACAUAAUAACUGUUAUUUUCUCAUAAAGUUGUCAUACACCUAAAAACUAUCAGAGAGCUGAUAGUAGAUUACCUCAAGAUAGCUUAACGAGAAGGAUUUAUGAUCAAAUAAAAGCCAGCAACACUCAAAAUAGCAGCAGCAAAUAGAACAGCAACAAAAAUCCCAGAAUAUUUGACUAAAACCAACUUUAAAUAGCAGGGAUUAUGAACUAGGGAAACAAGGAGCUAUUUCUAUUUUCAAAUCCACUUGGAAACCCAGAAAAAGGAAGAAAAACCAGUGUGAAAAUCAAUUUCCAGAAUUCCUUGUGUAUCAAAGUUGCCUUUUAGAUUGCCUAAUGCUGAUGAUAGUCUGUGUGUGAACGAGUGAG
This 1108-nucleotide long non-coding RNA is filed under the name Nicotiana tabacum (common tobacco). RNAcentral's name for it is "long non-coding RNA (NTAB_LNC013338)". The record is from RNAcentral. Lineage: Eukaryota; Viridiplantae; Streptophyta; Magnoliopsida; Solanales; Solanaceae.